Molecule: ribosomal RNA, 301 nt
Filed under: uncultured bacterium
Lineage: Bacteria
Description: partial 16S ribosomal RNA
Rfam family: Bacterial small subunit ribosomal RNA
Source: RNAcentral
CAGUCGCCGCGGUAAAACGGAGGGUGCAAGCGUUAUCCGGAUUUAUUGGGUUUAAAGGGUCCGUAGGCGGAUCUGUAAGUCAGUGGUGAAAUCUCACAGCUUAACUGUGAAACUGCCAUUGAUACUGCAGGUCUUGAGUAAAUUUGAAGUGGCUGGAAUAAGUAGUGUAGCGGUGAAAUGCAUAGAUAUUACUUAGAACACCAAUUGCGAAGGCAGGUCACUAAGAUUUAACUGACGCUGAUGGACGAAAGCGUGGGGAGCGAACAGGAUUAGAUACCCCGGUAGUCCCUGUCUCUUAUAC